This 29-nucleotide non-coding RNA is filed under the name Homo sapiens (human). Lineage: Eukaryota; Metazoa; Chordata; Mammalia; Primates; Hominidae. The record is from RNAcentral.
UGCACUGAGUUGUAUCCGAGAGGGUGGGA